AUUGAACGCUGGCGGCAUGCUUUACACAUGCAAGUCGAACGGUAACAGGGUGCUUGCACCGCUGACGAGUGGCGAACGGGUGAGUAAUGCGUCGGAACGUGCCGAGUAGUGGGGGAUAACGCAGCGAAAGUUGUGCUAAUACCGCAUACGUACUGAGGUAGAAAGUGGGGGACCUUCGGGCCUCACGCUAUUCGAGCGGCCGACGUCUGAUUAGCUAGUAGGUGAGGUAAAGGCUCACCUAGGCGACGAUCAGUAGCGGGUCUGAGAGGAUGAUCCGCCAGACUGGGACUGAGACACGGCCCAGACUCCUACGGGAGGCAGCAGUGGGGAAUUUUGGACAAUGGGCGAAAGCCUGAUCCAGCCAUGCCGCGUGUCUGAAGAAGGCCUUCGGGUUGUAAAGGACUUUUGUCAGGGAGGAAAUCCCUAGUGCUAAUAACACUGGGGGAUGACAGUACCUAAAGAAUAAGCACCGGCUAACUACGUGCCAGCCGCCGCCGCAG
This 500-nucleotide ribosomal RNA is filed under the name uncultured bacterium. RNAcentral describes it as "partial 16S ribosomal RNA". It matches the Rfam family "Bacterial small subunit ribosomal RNA", at positions 30 to 523 of the family's 1533-position model. The record is from RNAcentral.